Arabidopsis lyrata subsp. lyrata is the source of this 1751-nucleotide long non-coding RNA. RefSeq lists it as uncharacterized. The record is from RefSeq and is a predicted model, not a curated record. Lineage: Eukaryota; Viridiplantae; Streptophyta; Magnoliopsida; Brassicales; Brassicaceae. The transcript has 4 exons.
GUAUGCUCCUAAUCACUUGUAACACCCCAAAUUUGAAGAAAAUGAAGAAUCAGAUUUUGGGUUAAAUUGUUCAAUUUAGACAGAUUGCAGGAAGAUUUCUGAUCGAUUCAAAAGUUUGAACCAAAAUCUAUGAAUAGGCAAAAGUUUGAGGACUAAAGUGCAAAAGAAGAAAAUUAGGGAUACACUCGGGUUUAUGCUUUCCGAAAACGAAGGGAGAGUUUUUGGCAACUCAAAUCUUGAUCUUUCAACCCUGAUGUUAAGUAUAUAUAUGCGUCUUGAAGCCCCAGAGAUUUAGAUGCCUAUUCUCUUGUCAAUUGGAGAUUUUUGGUUGAUCGUGCUUCUCCGUAUGAGUGCUUUAGUUCUGGGUUGUUUUCAGCUAUGGUAGAAGAAUUUGAUAGCUAGUGGAAUAUGGGCAAACACUGUAGGGGGCAAAAGGGUUCUUGGCUUCGGCGUUAUCUGGUGGUCAAUCGCCACAAUUCUCACUCAUGUAGAUGCUAAACUCGGCCUUCCAUACUUGCUCGUUGUUCGUGCUUUCAUGGGAGUUGGAGAGGGUGUUGCAAUGCCUUCUAUGAACAAUAUAUUGUCGAAGAGGGUGCAUGUGCAAGAGAGAAGCAGAUCACUCACGCUUGUUUACAGCGGAAUGUACCUUGGAUCUGUCACCGGUUUAACAAUCUUCUCUACUGGUUAAUUAAUUUGGUUUAUGUAAACUGCUUUCUUUUGUUGGUUUGGAUACAGAGCUGUAGAGUAUCUCCACGAGCGUUGUCGUCCUCCGGUUAUCCAUAGAGAUAUUAAGUAGUCAAAUAUUCUAUUUGAUUCUUCCUUCAAUGGCAAGGUAAAUAACUUGAAUCAUUGUUGAUGAUUCUGUUGUGAAUUUGUUUCCUAGACUAAAACAGAAACUGUUUUAAAAUUAACAAAAGGCAUGAAUUUAAAAAUUAGUAAGUCUCACUAAAAAUUUCAAAUGUGAAUAAGCUGUGUCUACAUAAUGUGUUUCUAAAGGAAAUAUGUGGCUAACACAAAAUUAAACAAACUUCACUUAAACAAUAGUGCAUAUAGUCUAAGAAACGGAAAAUUUCUUUGUAGAUGAAACAACCAUCACAUACGUGAUCAAAAUCUCCAACAACGCACUCGUCAUCAACUUUAAUUUGAGUGAGGAGCAUAUCGUACUCUUGGUAUUGCCUCACGUUUAACUUCAGAAUUACCUCACCACAGUUUUUUUGGCAUUGUCUAACAGCUUGAAAUCCUUGAUUUUUCCAAAGUUGGGUGAUAUAGUUGGAUCCUUCAUCUAUUUUCCCUUCACCGAUUAGAAUCAUCUUGUAAACAUACAUUGCUUCGGAAUGAGUAUCUCUAGCUGCGUAAGAGAUCUUAGCAAUACCUGUAGCAAUUUCUUUUUUGAAAUAGUAAUCUAUAAGACCAGACAAGAAGAUAGCGUGAACAUUCCCAUUUUUUGCACAUUCAACUAAAAAUUUGAAAUUUUUAGGAAUCUCAUUUCAUGGUGGUGGAAAUACUUCAGUGAGAUUAAGAUUCUUCCACACGUCUGGAAAUUUGGAGAUAUGAAAUAAUGCUUUGCAUGAAGUAAGGGAAGAUACGAAGUCAAGAGCAGAAGAUUCUCCAACCUUACCAAGUAUGACAACUAGCAUGUCGUCGGGAAGAAAUUAGUUAGAACUGGCUGAAAACACUUUUUACUCAUUAUUUAGUUUUUGAUAUUUGAAUUGAUGUAGAAGUGUAUGCCUUUGGUUCUAUUUAUAGCAAAA